This is a non-coding RNA of Acanthosepion pharaonis, 104 nucleotides long. NCBI's taxonomy places the organism in Eukaryota, Metazoa, Mollusca, Cephalopoda, Sepiida, Sepiidae. The record is from the annotation of a GenBank genome assembly.
CAUAACAUGUUGAAACACCAUUUCCUGUAAGAUCACUGAAGUUAAGCCAUGUCAGGCCUGGUCAGUAUCUAGAUGGGUGACCACUUGAAUGUGCAGGUGUUGUA